RNAcentral lists this long non-coding RNA (305 nucleotides) under Nicotiana benthamiana. RNAcentral's name for it is "long non-coding RNA (NBEN_LNC005665)". The record is from RNAcentral. Lineage: Eukaryota; Viridiplantae; Streptophyta; Magnoliopsida; Solanales; Solanaceae.
CUAAUAAUAUUGAAUACAAGUUUGAAUGGAAAUGAAUAAAAUGUCUGACAAAAACUACAAAGGAACAGACUGAUAGAGACAGAGUAAGCGGUCAUGCGGUCGUUGGGCAGCUACCUCAAUACUUUGAUAGCUCGGAUAAGCAACAAUAGUAGCACUAGAUCUCUGGAGCACCUGGAUCUGCACACAAGGUGCAUGGAGUAUGGGGUGACUCUACCAACUCAGCGAGUGAUAAGCAUAUAUAAAAAAACCCGAAGAUAAAAGCACACGAAAUAACACAAUGUAAAGCUAACUAACAAUUUCUUGCC